This 253-nucleotide ribosomal RNA is filed under the name uncultured bacterium. RNAcentral describes it as "partial 16S ribosomal RNA". It matches the Rfam family "Bacterial small subunit ribosomal RNA", at positions 524 to 776 of the family's 1533-position model. The record is from RNAcentral.
UACGGAGGAUGCAAGCGUUAUCCGGAAUGAUUGGGCGUAAAGCGUCCGCAGGUGGCUAUGUAAGUCUGCUGUUAAAGAGUGAGGCUCAACCUCAUAAGAGCAGUGGAAACUACAUGGCUAGAGUGCGUUCGGGGCAGAGGGAAUUCCUGGUGUAGCGGUGAAAUGCGUAGAGAUCAGGAAGAACACCGGUGGCGAAAGCGCUCUGCUAGGCCGCAACUGGCACUCAUGGACGAAAGCUAGGGGAGCGAAUGGG